This 404-nucleotide ribosomal RNA is filed under the name uncultured bacterium. RNAcentral describes it as "bacterial SSU rRNA". It matches the Rfam family "Bacterial small subunit ribosomal RNA", at positions 115 to 507 of the family's 1533-position model. The record is from RNAcentral.
ACGUGGGUAACCUGCCCUAAAGUGGGGAUAACAUUUGGAAACAGAUGCUAAUACCGCAUAAACCUAACACCGCAUGGUGUAGGGUUGAAAGAUGGUUUCGGCUAUCACUUUAGGAUGGACCCGCGGUGCAUUAGUUAGUUGGUGAGGUAAAGGCUCACCAAGACCGUGAUGCAUAGCCGACCUGAGAGGGUAAUCGGCCACACUGGGACUGAGACACGGCCCAGACUCCUACGGGAGGCAGCAGUAGGGAAUCUUCCACAAUGGACGAAAGUCUGAUGGAGCAACGCCGCGUGAGUGAAGAAGGUUUUCGGAUCGUAAAACUCUGUUGUUGGAGAAGAAUGUAUUUGAUAGUAACUGAUCAGGUAGUGACGGUAUCCAACCAGAAAGCCACGGCUAACUACGUG